Cylas formicarius (sweet potato weevil) is the source of this 117-nucleotide long non-coding RNA. RefSeq lists it as uncharacterized. The record is from RefSeq and is a predicted model, not a curated record. Lineage: Eukaryota; Metazoa; Arthropoda; Insecta; Coleoptera; Brentidae. The transcript has 3 exons.
GCUGCAAAGUCAACAAUGAAGACUUUUCCCAUAUUUUUGAAGUACACGCUGGCGUUUGGAUCUCCUCACAGACGGACGAUGAGUCGUACUGGUAUUGUGGACCUCUAUCAAACAAUC